Mauremys reevesii (Reeves's turtle) is the source of this 2616-nucleotide long non-coding RNA. RefSeq lists it as uncharacterized. The transcript has 4 exons. NCBI's taxonomy places the organism in Eukaryota, Metazoa, Chordata, Testudines, Geoemydidae. The record is from RefSeq and is a predicted model, not a curated record.
UUGCCCGGCCAAACAGCUGAUUGGUGCGGCAAGCCUGGGAGGGAGAAGUGGCACGGUGGCGGCGCACUCAGAGAGGAGGCGGAGGCAGAGCAGAGGUGUGCUGGGGUGGGGAGUGGUUCCUCUCCCUACCCUGAUAUAACACAGCCUCACCUAUAACACGACUCUUCACCCAGUGGUUGAAUGACUGCCACUUUGCUGGAGUUUUCUGCCUAUGCUGGAACCCAUCAGAAGCAAAGUACAGCACCCUUUGAGCUGACUUCCGUGGGGCUCUGUAUGGUCUCAAGGAUCUGCCCACAUGGAUCCAAUUGCAGGAUCAGGACCUUCAAAUUUGCAAGCACAAAAUUAUCCCCAGAAAAAGGAAAUGGGGCCUAUCUAUUCCCUCAAAUACACCACAAGACAUACAAGAACAGAAGAAAAGAUUCAGAGGCAGCCUGAACAGUCGCUCCCCAAGCCAACCUAGGAGUGGGAUGUGGAAGCAAGCAAAAGUAGCAGCAAUAAAGAGUGGAUUGUGCUGCUUCUCUAAAGCUUUCUGACCUGACCCAGUGGCUCCUGUUGUCUUCUUGGAAGUGAGUGCAGGCUUCUGAUCUUCGACAGGAAGACCUGUGAAAUAAUCAGCAGGUUAGAAAGCAUUGAAAACAGAGGAGAGAUGCUAACAGAACAGAAACGAUAGGCCACAUAUUUCAAACUUGGCUUCCCAAUAUUAGAUACCUAGGAAGAGAUUUUCAAAGACACAAAUGGCUCAACUCCCUUUGAAAGGAGUUGGAUGUUUAACUUGCAUUUAUGCCUUUAAGAGCGUCCCCCACAAAAAAUAACCUGAUUUUCAAAGGUGCUGAUCACCAGCCACUCUUACUGAAAUGGCUUUAGGCUUCCAUAUUUUGAUAUUUUAGAUAUAAUAUUUUAGCCUCUGGUGCAAAUUAUUUAAAGUUGCAAACAAUUUUUUAAAAAAAAGCAAAUACAAUUUGAACAAUAUUUUCAGCCUCUUCUCAAAGACUCAAGAAAAAAACUUGCCUUUACAAAUUCUUCUUCUUUGUGAAUCCUUUAAACGUACACUGGGGCAACCAGAAAUGUUUUGUUUUGUUUUUAAAGCUACUCCAGAAUACAGACAUUCCACUUCAGCGCAGUUAAAUUAUGGCAGUAAAUUAACAUUAAAUAAUAAUUCGUAGCUUUUUUUUUUUAAAAAGGACAAAAUAUAUCAAUGUUUUAAGUAAUACCAUUUAAGUUUUUCAUUAACCAAUAUAAUAAUUUAUAUUUUACAAAUAAUUUAUUUACUGUGUAAUAAGGAUUAAUUACAAUUCUGUAUAAUGGGAAAGGCAAAUAUAGCAAUAAACUACAACAUAUUGCAUGUCUAGAGAUGUAAUGGAAGACUAAACAUUAUCAGUUUCAUGGCCACACAUUAUACGUGUGCCACCCUGCCCUCUACUAGACGGGAUACUUAGAUCUUUUCCUGUACUGGUAGAGCGUCUUAAAUUUACAUAAUGGACUGUGUUUUUAGUGGUGACGGUCAUGUAUGGUAUUUCUGAGUGCAGUACAUUUUAUUUUGUUCUGUUAAAAUGCAAUUUAGAAAACCUACCUUCCAAUUGCUUGAUAGGAAGAAAAAGCUUAUUUAUUAUUUAUUUGUAUUUCAGUAGCACCAAGGAGACCCAGCCAUGCACCAGAACCCCACUGUGCUAGCUUUUCUACAAACACAGAACAGAAAGACUGUCCCUUCCCCAAAGAUUUUAUAAUCUGGGGCUAAUUGUAUGAAAUACAUUGCAAAGUUCUUUAUUCCACAUUAGCUCCAAGAAAUUAAGGUAGGGUGUGGAAUAAAGAAGGGUAGAUCCAUUGGAUUAAACUAAUUUGGAAUAAGGCACUCUCACUCCAGAAUAAGGGCAUUCACACAUGGAGUUAAUCAGGAAUUCUUAAUCCUCUUUAAAUUCACAUCCUAUCUUAAUCUGGAUUAAUUUACAUGUGUAGACAAGUCCUAAAUACACAAGACAGAUGAAGGAAGUAUUUAUCAUUAUCUCCGCUUUCCAGAUGGAGAACUGAGGGUACAGAGAGAUUUAGUGAUUUGCCCAAGGUCACGCAGGGAUGUGUGUGGUCAUACCUGAGAAGUGUGGGUAUUUGGUAUAUAUUUGGAAACACAAGGUCAAAGUGCAAGUACCUUUCACCCCCACCUGCAAAAGGCAGGUCAGUAUCUAAUUAACUUGUAUUGACUUGUCUUUUUGUGCUUACAAAAUGUGUUUUGCAUUAUAUUUUUGUAACAGUUGGCUAGUAAAUCCUGACCUGUGAGGGUUAAUGCUGAAUACCUACGCAGCUGGAGCCAUUGGUGGCCAAUCACAUUCCUGCUCUGAUCAUUUCCUGUUUUACAAAAUGUAAAUAUUGGAUGUCUUGUCUGAAUCUUCAGAACCUAAACAUGUGAUCAUUAUUAAUAACAUAUGUAAUAAGAUACCACAUGCUGGCAUAAUAACCUGCAGUAAACGACACCAAAAAUACUGAGAACCUUAGCAUACAAUUGAAACUCGUUAAUGGUUCAGUGUGCAGUUUGGCAUAAAACUAGCAGGCAAGAAUUCCACACAAUGGAACUGUGUAAGUGCUAACAGCAGGCUCCUGCAAGACAAAAUAAACUUGUUUUAUGGA